RNAcentral lists this non-coding RNA (46 nucleotides) under Schistosoma curassoni. The record is from RNAcentral. Lineage: Eukaryota; Metazoa; Platyhelminthes; Trematoda; Strigeidida; Schistosomatidae.
GCACUGUUGAGGAGUCCCACAAUAGGACGAAACGACCGUACAGUGC